This is a long non-coding RNA of Rhineura floridana, 3116 nucleotides long. RefSeq lists it as uncharacterized. The transcript has 3 exons. Lineage: Eukaryota; Metazoa; Chordata; Lepidosauria; Squamata; Rhineuridae. The record is from RefSeq and is a predicted model, not a curated record.
CAUCAGAGCUCCAACACGUGAGCUACGCUCUCAAGGAACGCAUUGAGGAACAUAACCAGGGAGAGACCUGAUUUUGGAUCAGAGCUCUUCCGCGUAACUUCAGCUAGAGAGAGCGUAAAGACAGAGCUUGGAAAAGUUACUUUUUUAAACUACAAUUCCCAUCAGCCCAACCCAGUGGCCAUGCUGGCUGGGGAUGAUGGGAGCUGUAGUUUAAAAAAGUAACUUUUCCAAGCUCUGCGUAAAGAUGAUUUAAAAUUGUUGGCUAAGUUCCCUACAGGGAUUCAGAGAUGGUCAGAGGAGGAUCCAGAAGCCGAGGCAGAGGCUUCGGGGAGGGCGUUUGGAAUAGGAGGAAGGAAGAAUCGGAAGAAUUCAGCCUGUAAGUACAGAACCUCCAAAUGUUUUUAUUGCAAAAAGAAAAAAGAAAAAGAAAAUGGCCACAGAAAUGAGACAGCUGGCAUUUUUAUCAGCAAGGUCCGGACCAGAAGAAUUUGCAGUUUCCACAGCCCCCAGAGCAAAUCCAGCAGUUUUCAGCCACCUCCACCCUGGAUGAGUAUGACAAGUCGACAUGCAGGGAAGGGGAGGACUCACAGGCAUAAAGGAGGGGGGGUGAUGGUUUAAUGUUAUAAGCUGCCUGUGUUCCAAUAGAAAUUGUUUACCAUUGCCUUUUAGAUACUGAAUGUGUUGGCAAAGGAAUUAAAGUGUAAAAACACAAGGAAAACCACAUAAAAGGAGUGGGGGAAAGACUUCAUUGUAAAUAUGUGUAACUGUCUAACUGACCUGUCUCCUGUUAGUCUUUUAGGACGUGCUCUUUUCUGUAAACUGAGGGGCACCAUCCGUUGCACACUCCUGAUAUUUAUUUUAUUGGACAUUCUAAAUUCUCAAAUUCAUAAUUUGACCAUGUUUUAGAUGUAGCACCAGUGCCUUCACCUUUGCCACCAGAAUUGUACAGCAUCCCUCAUGUAUCCUGCAUUCUACAGUAUCCUAUACCAUUCAGAAACAAAUUGAUGCCUAUUUGGCACAAGGAAUUCUUAGGCCACGGCUUCACCUGCAAAAUUGCAGUUUGAAAAUACAAAGGUAAAGUAACUGAGAUAUGUUAUUGCCCCUGGCCAAUGAGAAUUGCCUGAACGUAUUCAAGCUAUCUUGCAGAUUCCGCUGCCUAUUUUGCCAGCACCAAGUUCAGGCCCUACUGAGAAUCUGAGCUUCUGCAGACCAUGGAGUCCAGUGUUGGGUGAGUUAACCAAAUUUUUGGUGGAAUUGACUGUGAAAGAUGCCCCUGACAAGAUUGUACCACACCAGAGCUUGCCCAGCUCUUACAAACUAUUAAAUGUAUUCUGACCAAAGCUCCAGCCCUGGGCCUGCCUAAUUAUGAGAAACCCUUCAGACUGUAUGUGCAUGAGCACCUGGGAGUGGCCUCUGAGGUUCUCAGCCAAGAGUUUGGUGGAAGGCAAUGCCCUGUGGCCAGAGCUUGGAAAAGUUACUUUUUUGAACUACAACUCCCAUCAGCCCUAGGCAACAUGGCCACUGGAUUAGGCUAAUGGGAGCUGUAGUUCAAAAAAGUAACUUUUCCAAGCUCUGCCUGUGGCUUAUCCAGUACAACUUGAUCCUGUAGCCAGAGGAGCUGUGGGCUGCUCAAGGGCACUUGCAGCUACUGUUCUACUGGUCCAGAAGUCUAAAGACCUAGUCAUGGGCUACCCAUUGCUUGUCCUGGUCCUUCAUGAGGUGUCAGCCAUCUUACUUAAGUGUCAAACUCAAACCUGUUAUACCAGAGUCUAGCUAAUUAUGAAGCUGGAUUACUGAUUGCAUUACUGGCUGCCUCCAAUCUAAAGCUGGAACGACGCUCCACCCUGAAUCCUGCUACUCUACUCCCAGAUGUGGAUUCAGCUCCUACUGCUGAGCAUGACUGUCUUCAGGUCAUUCAACAGACUGAGACUCCUACUGAUGUCCCUGGAAAAUGCAGACUGAAAUUAAAGACUGAGAACAAAGACAUGAAGCACAGUGAAGUGAGGGCAUUGGAUCGAAGUCCCUGAUGGAUGCCCUAUAGCGCCACGAAGACUUCUGCGCCUGUUAUGUUCACAACUCCAUGACAAAGGACAUUGUGGCACUCAAGUACUGGUGGAUGCCAUUCAAGCACAUUGGUUCACACCAGGUGUAUACCAGGAAGCUCUACGUGUCAAGCCUUCAAUACUGCGUUUAAGCCAAAAAGCCACAAAGGGGGGCGACCCUGGGCUACUUUGGAGGGUAGUGAAGCUUUGAGCGUCUGUGGACUGCUGCAGCCCUUACUCAGAUGUUGCCACUGGAGGAACAGCUUCAUCCCUUUCAGCCUGGUGAUUGGAUCUGGAUCAAGUCAGUUUCCAAGACUUCGCCGCUGGCUCCUUCCUGGUUGGGCCCAUUCCAGAUUCUUCUUAUGACCCACAUAGCGGUCAAGGUUGCUGAACGCAGUACCUGGAUUCAUCACAGCCACAUCAAACCUGUCUUUGUUGACCACAGCCAAGACGUUGCCAGUCCUAUUCCAGCUCUCAAGUUAAGGAGAGACCCAGAAGAAGACAAGUGGUUCAUUGCCAACCUGUUCCAGGAGGUCUGAUGAACACCAUCCAAGAACUGUGUGAAUCACACAUUGCUUGCUAUUCAGUAUUAUUAAUUUGUUGCCUUAUUUUUGUUAUUUUCCUGUGUCUCUGCUGUGCAAAACCUUUGUAUCAGAAAUAUUGGUGUGGCCAACCUAAAGAAGUACAAUGGUGGGCUUCCUACGAUCUGUGUCAACCAUCUUCCAAGGGACCAUGGCCAAUCUAAUGUUCAUCCUAUUGCUUGCCUAUCCUACACUUACAAUUUAACAUCAUGGGAAAGAUGUUAAAAAUGGGGGAGAAUGUAGUAAAAGUAAAAUAGAUAAAGUCAAGGCCGUAUCCCAGGACAACAUGAGACUUGCACGCUACAUUCACAUACGCAACUGUAUAUGCUUUGUGUCUUGUUCUGCACAUUUCCUUCCUGCCUCAUGAGAUAAGCCUUUGUAAGUGCCUCUCUAAGCUUGUGUGACCUGCAAGAACAUAUAAAAGGGUGAAGCAGAAAGGGGGGGUGCGACUCAUGCUUCACCCAUUGAGUGUAAUGUAUGUGUGUCAGCCCUA